AUAAAUAAUUUAAUUUGGAUUGUAUAUUUUUUUAACAUUUAAUAUUGUUCAAAAUCAAAAUAUAGAGAAGUCAAUGUUGGGAAUUAUAUUUCACUGUUCUUCGGUUUUCCCGCCAUACGUCACAAAAGUUCGAAAAGAAACAAACAAGAACAACAUGGCGUCCACACCAAAAAGAAAUACAAAACAGGAAAAAAGAAGAAAAGGCAGGAAGACGUUGUUGGCUUCUUGCACAGUGUGUCUCCGUUGAAAAAAGUUCCAAACCAACAAAAAGUACAAGUUUCAAUGCUGUACAAUACACACUGGUACAGACAAGCAACGGUAGGUUACCAAGUGGCUACAGAAGACAAUUAAUUGAGAGAGCCAAUGGUAUAAUAACCAAGAAUAUCCUGCAAGUUGGACAUGAGGCAAAACAGAAAUACUUGAUGUAUAAUUCAGAGACUUUUAGUUGAUGAACUGGUGGGUUACAAAGUGGCAAUGUAAGACAAUUAGAGAAGAGACUCACAGAACCAAGAAUAUCUUGAAAGUUGGACAUGAAGCCAGACAGAAAUUCCGAGACUUUGUCCAGUUGAUAAACUGGUAAGUGAAGUUUAGAGUUUACUGAUUGUUAUUUUCUUUAAUGUUCAUGAAAUUUACAUUUGAAUUUGAAAUUUUAAUGUGUCAAGAAGUUAAUAGUGUGAUUUUGUGUGACUUCAAAUGGAGCCUGCCUUUGCAGAUACUGGCUGCAAGGCCAAGUGGUUAACAUGUCAGACUAGUAAGCUAGCCUCAUGGGUUCAAACCCCGGCAAGUUGUUGUUUCCUUGAACAAGAAACUUUACACUCAUUGCUCAGUACUAGUUGGUUCCUGGAAUGAAUUCGAAAGUGUGUCUAUAAGCUUUAAAUUAAGCUUCCUAUGCAAUCAAACUAAAAUAAAUUCUGUAUAUAAAAUAAACCAGAAUUAUGAUUUUGUUACAAUAAUUUUGCAAACCCUGUAAUAAUAUGUGUUAAUAUUUCUACAUAAUUUGAUGCAUCCUGUUGACUUGGUUGUUAAAAAUUCUGCAAGAUAUCUCUUGCUAUUGAAUUCUCCUGGGGACUUUGAAUUAUUCUGUGUGAUUCUUAAAGGGUAUAAAUCUAUAUCUUAUGAAUUUUCUAAUAGAAUUUAUCAACUGUAAAAUUAUAUUGGUUCCAUUGUUAUAUGGUUGAUUUCAGAAAAAGUUGUAACAUAGAAUGUGUCUGUUAUUUAAUACACAUGAAUAAUGUACAUAAACAAAAUAAAAUGUUCUUGUACAUUAAAAUAUUAUUUUGCUAUUUUAAGAAGGGUUUUAUCAGUUAAGCAAUGAUUUUGUGCAUACACCAUUCGCUUUUAAGGCUAUCUAUUUCAUACAAGCAUUUGAAGGUAUACUUUUUUAAAAUUCAAAUAAUUAUUUUUCUAUCAUACACUUAAAAACUUGUUGUCUGCAAAAAAUGUAGGUACAGUCAGGAGUAAAGAUAAGGUACUGAGUUUGGUGAACUUGAAAAAGAUGUUUCAUCAUACAGUGUAGAAUGGCCCUUUGUAGUGCAAUAACUUCUUGAAAGACCUUUUUGGAAGUUUUCAUAUAGACAUACAUUGUAUAGGCAAAAUUAACACUGUUCAAUAGAUUUUAUUAAAAUUUGGCAUGUUGUUACAAUAUGAUAAUGGAAACAUUUUAAGAAAAUUUUAUGAAAAAAAGGGGGCGGGGUCACCAUCCUCGUUGUUGAAUUAUCUGCUCCUGAAUUGGACUUUAAUGCUUAAAUCAAGGGCAGAUAAUUCACAAUAAAGGUAAAUAAUACCUAAUUUUUUGCUUAUUUUAUAUAGUUUACUUCCUUUUGAGUCAAUGUGCAAAAUUUCAGUUAAGGAUAAAGAGUAAGUAGAUUGGCUUUUUUUCCCCUUCUUUUCUAAACCUGUGACUUUUUUCUUAAAAAAUUGCCUAUUUCUUUGAAGAAUUUUAAGUCCCUUUAUUCAAACUGAAAAAAAUAACAGAAAUAAGAUGGAAUUACCUGUAAUUAUGUAUUGUAAUAACAAUAAAAAGAAAAACAUCCAGAAGUAUAAACAAGAUUAUAUAGACAUAUGUUUAAGUUACCUGCCUUUAAAAUGACCUCAGAUAAGUUAAAAGAUUCUGAUUCAAGGGCAGAUAACUUAGAAAUGACCUUUAAAUUUGUUUCGACCGCUUCCAUGGUCGAGGGGUUAGUUUCGAUGACUUCUUAUCCAGUUACCUCUCUGGCAUGGGUUCGAUCCCCUGGAGAUGCUUUGGUAGUUUAGCACGGAGGAAGGUUAGUCUAGUACUGGUGUAACUCUCCAGGAAUUAUGGUUAGGAAACUACCUGCCUAUAUGACUGAUAUACUGUUGGGAAAAGGCAAAAAUGAAACAAACAAAGAAACAAACAAACAAAUUUGUUUCCCUUUGACACAAAAGUUUCAUUACAAGGUUAUUUUCCUUAACUUUUCUAUAGAUUUGGUUGAAGUUGAUAUUACGGUUCAUCAUCCCUAGCUUUAAAUGACUGGUGGAAUCCCCUCUAAUUUCCUGUUUAUGUACAUAUCUCUAACAUUUAGGUUGACUUUAUGCCAUUUUCUGUACAUGUCCAUGUCUAUUAACAUUUAUACUGUACCAUUUCCUGUACCUACACACAUCAGUUUAUACCUUUUCUUCAGUAAUUGUACACACCCAUAACAUUUAGUUCCUGUACUGUACACAUAUUUAGUAGCAUUUAGGUUAGUUUCAUGCCAUUUCCAUUGCCUGCUUAUUUCUUUCAUAUUAAGGUUAACUUAAAGCCAUUUCCUGUCGCUCUUUACAUAUAGGUUGACAAAAUUAUUUUCCUGUUCACAUCUGUUACAUUAAGAUUGACUUAUGUCAUUUCCUAUACCAAUACAUAUCUAUAACAUUUAGAUCCACAUCCUGCCAUUUCCUGUUCCUGAAUCAGUACAUAUCUCUCAACAUUUAGGUUGACCUCCUGCCACUUUCGGCACAUGUACAUAUCUCCAGGGAUAAAAACAGACCAUUUAACCUUGGUGGCCACCUGGACCACUGACUGUAAAAUUUUCAUGGCCCAAUAAUA
Ruditapes philippinarum (Manila clam) is the source of this 3046-nucleotide long non-coding RNA. RefSeq lists it as uncharacterized. The record is from RefSeq and is a predicted model, not a curated record. NCBI's taxonomy places the organism in Eukaryota, Metazoa, Mollusca, Bivalvia, Venerida, Veneridae. The transcript has 3 exons.